UACGGGGGGAGCAAGCGUUGUUCGGAUUUAUUGGGCGUAAAGGGCGCGUAGGCGGUCACUACAAGUCAGUUGUGAAAUCUCUGGGCUUAACUCAGAACGGUCAACUGAUACUGUCGGACUAGAGUGCAGAAGGGGCAACUGGAAUUCUCGGUGUAGCGGUGAAAUGCGUAGAUAUCAGGAGGAACACCGGUGGUGUAGACGGCUUUCUGGACCGUAACUGACGCUGAGACACGAAAGCGUGGGUAGCAAACAGG
RNAcentral lists this ribosomal RNA (254 nucleotides) under uncultured prokaryote. RNAcentral describes it as "partial 16S ribosomal RNA". It matches the Rfam family "Bacterial small subunit ribosomal RNA", at positions 524 to 776 of the family's 1533-position model. The record is from RNAcentral.